ACAGAUAAAGCACCGUGGCUCAGAGAAAGCAAGUGACUUGCCUAAAAUCACAGGGUCCACAGAGUCACAGCCAGAAUGCAAGCCUGAGCCCUCAGAUCUGGAGUCUGCCCUCUUCACCAUGGCUCCUGACUCUCCCAAACUCCAGGAAGGCCAAGGGAGGGCGGACAGACACACAGAAAAGAAGAAGACAAUGUGAAGACCAAGGCAGAGAUGGCAGUGAUGUGGCUACAAGCAAAGGAAUGCUGGCAGCCACCAGCAGCUGGAAGAGGCAUGGAGUGAUUUCUCCCCCAGAGCCUCCUGUGGGAGCAUGGCCUGCUGACACCUUGACUUCAGCUGAGUGAAACUGAUGUUCACCCUCCGGCCUCCAGAACUGUGUCAGAAUAAACUUCUGUUGUUUUGA
Macaca mulatta (Rhesus monkey) is the source of this 400-nucleotide non-coding RNA. NCBI's taxonomy places the organism in Eukaryota, Metazoa, Chordata, Mammalia, Primates, Cercopithecidae. The record is from RefSeq and is a predicted model, not a curated record.